GUGGAGGAGAGCGGGUGGCAGGGGGGUGCAGAGGGCCCCAGGCACCAGCCCCAGUAACCACAACACUGGGAGGCAAAGGUCUCUGUCGGUGUCAGGGUGUGAGUGCAGACCAGCCCUCCCGGCAGCAUCCCCAGUGACGCAGCCACAGGCUCGCUGGCAGGAUGGCAUGGCACUCGCUGCUGCUGCUCCCCUUCCUCCUGGUGACAGGUGACGACUUUGCUCCGCA
Molecule: long non-coding RNA, 226 nt
Filed under: Athene cunicularia (burrowing owl)
Lineage: Eukaryota; Metazoa; Chordata; Aves; Strigiformes; Strigidae
Description: lncRNA (ENSACUG00000008785.1)
Source: RNAcentral